AUUGCAGCAUAUUGAUGCAAUUGUCAUAUCUUUCUACUUAAAUUAUGAAGCACUUAUGGUUUAGUUGUAACGACUGAUUACUAUAUGUAUUUUGGAUUAAAAAAAAAAAAACAAUACCUGGAUGGGCAUAGUUUGUUGGUACAUUAACUGAUGACACUUUCAUGUCUUUACCAAAAAACAUUGAAUAUUAAAAUGGAAAAAAAAGGACAUUUCUUUUUGGUCACUGAAGGAUUGCAUGGACAAUGCAUCAUCCACUACACCAAUUUCUUCAGUCAGAAGAAUCUACCAUCUACCAGUGUGUAUUUCCUUUACAAUUCAAAGUGUAAUUUUGUGCAAGUGAAUUGAAGUAUAUAAAUAUAUAUUUGUUUUCAUUUACUCCUUUACCCUCACCUCCCCCAUCUGAAAGAUUAUCAAGAACAAAAAAGAUUUAUUAAACUUUAUAGUUUAUCUGGGUAUGUUGGAUGCUUUGACAAUAAAUCGCUUUAUUUUCUGCAAACC
Pelobates cultripes (western spadefoot toad) is the source of this 498-nucleotide non-coding RNA. The record is from the annotation of a GenBank genome assembly. NCBI's taxonomy places the organism in Eukaryota, Metazoa, Chordata, Amphibia, Anura, Pelobatidae.